GGUCUGUGAUGAAUAGUAAAAGGUCUGAUUAUCCUAAGACUUGCACUUCCAUGCCCUUCUCUCCCAGCAGUUUCUCACCAGCCACAACACAGUAAUAGUGUGGCUGGCAGAGAGUUUGCUGACAGCUUGUGAUGUGUUCGGUUCAUGUUAACCUCAAGUAUUGGAGACAUGACUGGAAUCUGCAUCCAACAGUCCUGCCUGAAGGAGUUUGGGGUCUUGGAUUGCUCAAACUGGAAAUGUGAUCUGACUUUUCUGCUGAGACC
Molecule: non-coding RNA, 263 nt
Organism: Cuculus canorus (common cuckoo)
Lineage: Eukaryota; Metazoa; Chordata; Aves; Cuculiformes; Cuculidae
Product: small Cajal body-specific RNA 6
Exons: 1
Source: RefSeq, a predicted model, not a curated record